RNAcentral lists this long non-coding RNA (1383 nucleotides) under Callithrix jacchus (white-tufted-ear marmoset). RNAcentral describes it as "lncRNA (ENSCJAG00000069665.1)". Lineage: Eukaryota; Metazoa; Chordata; Mammalia; Primates; Cebidae. The record is from RNAcentral.
AUGGUGAAAAAAGAAGUAGAAAUCGUGGCCCACCUCUGUCUUGGGGCCGUCGUCCUUGAGAUGAUUAUCGUAGGAGGAGUCCUCCACCUCGUCGCAGAUCUCCAAGAAGGAGAAGCUUUUCUCGCAGCCGGAGCAGGUCCCUCUCUAGAGAUAGGAGAAGAGAGAGAUCGCUGUCACGGGAGAGAAAUCACAAGCCGUCCCGAUCCUUCUCUAGGUCUCGUAGCCGUUCUAGGUCAAAUGAAAGGAAAUAGAAGACCAGUUUGCAAGAGAAGUGGUGUACAGGAAAUUACUUCAUUUGACAGGAGUAUGUACAGAAAAUUCAAGUUUUGAGAUCAAUAGAGCGCCGGCACUCUUCAUUGGCAAUAUAGCAAGUGUCAGGCUCACACUUUGAACUGUCUGGCACAUCUCCGUGCAACGAGACCUGGAAUCACCAGGGUUAGGUUCAGAGGGUAGCACUUAGCCCAAACCAGCUACGCUCCAAUUCCUUCAGGAUGCACCCAAUUUUCCCCUUUUAAUUUUUUUUUUACUGGAGAGUGAUUGGGGGAGAUAGUAGUAAAAAUGAACCUUUGCUUACUUUUUCACACCUUACGAAUAUGUUAGAUAUGUUAGCAUGUACCCAUUAUUUUGCUAAUAAACCAACUUAUCAUCUCUAAGCAUUAUUUUUCACAACAUCUAAAUUGUAAAAUAACAUGGACCGUGAAAUAAAAUUCAAAAUGGACAACAUUGGUUCCAACAUUCUGAGUUCUUUAUGCAAUCCCAGUUGUUCACGUUUGUGCUCCAUCUACACACAGCUUUUUUCAGACUUUCACAUUUCUGUCACAAGGGAGCAGCCAGCAGUGCUUUGCUCAUUCUGGGUAUGCUGUUUUGAAGGCAAAAAGGAACUCUGGAGUCUUGGGAGCCUCUACCAGCUGGAAUCCAUGAGGUUGCAUUCUGACAUUUCGGUUUAGUGGUAAUUGGGUGAAUAAGCCAUGUUAAGAGGUUCUACUGUUGAAGGGACUGAGUGUAUUUGUGGCCGGGAGAUCUCACCUGCGUCUCCUUGAGACUGUUUAUUAUUCCCAUAUGACAUGGAUGCCCUGAAAGAGAUUAAUGUUUGCUACCACUCCCAAUGUUGAAUAAAGCAGUAAAUACCGGAACAAGCAGAGCUUCACUGUAGUGUUCUCGGUGUGCUGUGGCUGGAACCUCAGUUACAAUGGCCUAUAGCGAACUGCUUUAGUGUCCAUUAUAAUAAAAUAAGGACUUCUGGUGAAUCUCCAAAGUUUUAAUUACGCUCCUUUCUCUCUCUCUCUUCAGGGUGCUAUUAAGUGUUUUCAUUGUCCUCUUAGUUUUACUUGGGACACAUAUGCUAUUGUACAUGUUGUAACAAGAUGUGUGGCCUGCAUUGGC